UACGAAGGGGGCUAGCGUUGCUCGGAAUCACUGGGCGUAAAGCGCACGUAGGCGGGUCUUUAAGUCAGGGGUGAAAUCCUGGAGCUCAACUCCAGAACUGCCUUUGAUACUGAGGAUCUCGAGUCCGGGAGAGGUGAGUGGAACUCCGAGUGUAGAGGUGAAAUUCGUAGAUAUUCGGAAGAACACCAGUGGCGAAGGCGGCUCACUGGCCCGGUACUGACGCUGAAAUACGAAAGCGUGGGGAGCAAACAGG
Molecule: ribosomal RNA, 253 nt
Filed under: uncultured bacterium
Lineage: Bacteria
Description: partial 16S ribosomal RNA
Rfam family: Bacterial small subunit ribosomal RNA
Source: RNAcentral